AGUCUUCUGUAUCCGUGCUGAAAUUUCGUCACACACCAGACCACAAGGGCUGAUGAGAUAAGUUAACUGGUCG
Molecule: microRNA precursor, 73 nt
Filed under: Schistosoma mansoni
Lineage: Eukaryota; Metazoa; Platyhelminthes; Trematoda; Strigeidida; Schistosomatidae
Description: mir-3492 microRNA precursor family
Rfam family: mir-3492 microRNA precursor family
Source: Rfam by way of RNAcentral